This 512-nucleotide ribosomal RNA is filed under the name uncultured bacterium. RNAcentral describes it as "partial 16S ribosomal RNA". It matches the Rfam family "Bacterial small subunit ribosomal RNA", at positions 28 to 507 of the family's 1533-position model. The record is from RNAcentral.
GACGAACGCUGGCGGCGUGCCUAAUACAUGCAAGUCGAGCGAGCGGAACUAACAGAUUUACUUCGGUAAUGACGUUAGGAAAGCGAGCGGCGGAUGGGUGAGUAACACGUGGGGAACCUGCCCCAUAGUCUGGGAUACCACUUGGAAACAGGUGCUAAUACCGGAUAAGAAAGCAGAUCGCAUGAUCAGCUUUUAAAAGGCGGCGUAAGCUGUCGCUAUGGGAUGGCCCCGCGGUGCAUUAGCUAGUUGGUAAGGUAAAGGCUUACCAAGGCGAUGAUGCAUAGCCGCGUUGAGAGACUGAUCGGCCACAUUGGGACUGAGACACGGCCCAAACUCCUACGGGAGGCAGCAGUAGGGAAUCUUCCACAAUGGACGCAAGUCUGAUGGAGCAACGCCGCGUGAGUGAAGAAGGUUUUCGGAUCGUAAAGCUCUGUUGUUGGUGAAGAAGGAUAGAGGUAGUAACUGGCCUUUAUUUGACGGUAAUCAACCAGAAAGUCACGGCUAACUACGUG